Molecule: long non-coding RNA, 1820 nt
Organism: Quercus robur (English oak)
Lineage: Eukaryota; Viridiplantae; Streptophyta; Magnoliopsida; Fagales; Fagaceae
Exons: 3
Source: RefSeq, a predicted model, not a curated record
UAUCAUGACCUCAAGACUGACUUGAACAGAACAGAAAGACAUGUAUUGAAAGAGAUGGGAUUUGUUUGUCAUGUUGAACAUCCUCAUAAAUUCAUAUCUAACUACCUUGCCAUUCUUGAAACACCUCCAGAACUGAGGCAGGAAGCUUGGAAUCUAGCAAAUGAUAGGCAUAGGGAAUGAGGCAGGAUGUAAUUCCUUACAAAGAUACGCUUUCUGCAUUGACAAGGAUAGCACAUGAGGAAGGCAUUCGAGGAUUGUACAUGAAAAGGAGGCUGGAUGAGAUAAGAUUUCAGCAAUACAGCCGAACCUUUAUUCAAUCAUGGAUCCUGCAAGGUAAGUGACAUAUUUUACUAUUAUAACAUAAUGUGAUGCACUUCAGUGAAUGAAUAUGAUGACACAUAGGGUUAUGGAUAUCUUGUGGAUUUUUUAAUAAUGUAUGUCAAUAUCUGUGACAUUUGUAUUUAGGCAAUUUCUCUGUUUAUGGACCUUAGUGGUGGAAAAAACAAAUAGCAAAUGUUAUGGUGGGAAAGUGGUUAAAGUGAUACCCUAAGAAGUUGCUAGCUACUUAACUGUAACUAUGCAUGUUUAUCUUCAAAUUAAAACAAGGCCAUGCAGGGCAUUGGGCCUGCUAUCACAAAUGACAAUCCAGUCGAUUGCAAAGUUAUAAAAUCUGGAACUCUCUCUCUAAAUAGAAGAUCAGAGUUUUAUUGAAUCAAAAAAAUGAAUUGAUACAAGCAACUAAUCCCAAUACAGUAAGGCUAUUCUAUAUAUACACGUCAAAGACUAAGUCCCUAAAAAUCAGUAAAUCAGUUACUAACUAUGUUAACUGUACAAUAGUGUUUCAUUAUAUACAUGACAGUCUAAUUAUUACAAGCCACGUGUAUCGUAAUCUCCAAAGCUAUGUAUGAAGACUUCAUGAUAAGGUAUUGCCUCAAUGGUUUCUAACACAUCCCUGCAAGCCCACUGGUGCUUUUGCUGCACGCUUGCUCCACAAUUGUUUAUUGUUGUGGCUGUCCUUGUCUGCUAGUGAUGAUGCUACUGUGCUUGUACUAGCAUCAGUAUAGCUACCAACUAGCGUGUGUGCUGUCCUUGACAUGAUUGUGUGAUUUAAAAAAAAAAAAAAUUAUUUGGAUACCAAAGUCCUUUGACUAGCUAUGACAAUUAUCAAUUUAAAGAAAUGAUUUUUAACAUGUCUCAAAUUGACUAGACUUUACAGAGUCCAUGAUAAUUUAGGGUAUAAUGAAGGAGCGAGGAAUAUUUUGGCAACUGUCAUGUUCAAUACCAGCUCUCUUUCUUCUCUUCUUUUUUUACCUCCUAGUGGAAUUUUAUAUAUACUAACUCUUGGUUUCCCUUGAAACAAUGUUAUCAUAAUUGAAUAAAUGAAACUUCCUUAUCUUUUUCCAAGUUUGGCAUGUCUCAAAUUGACUAGACUUUACGAAGUCCAUGAUAAUUUAGGGUAUGAUGAAGGAGCGAGGAAUAUUUUGGCAACUAUCAUGCUCAAUACCAGCUCUCUUUCUUCUCUUCUUUUUUUCUCUUGGUUUCCCUUGAAACAACAUUAUCAUAAUUGAAUAAAUGAAACUUCCUUAUCUUUUUCCAAGUUUGGCAUGUCUCAAAUUGAAUAGACUUUAUGGAGUCCAUGAUAAUUUAGGGUAUGAUGAAGAAGCGAGGAAUAUUUUGGCAACUGUCAUGUUCAAUACCAGCUCUCUUUCUUCUCUUCUUUUUUUACCUCCUAGUGGAAUUUCAUAUAUACUAGCUCUUGGUUUCCCUUGAAACAGUGUUGUCAUAAUUGAAUAAAUGAAACUUCCUUAUCUUUUUCCAAG